RNAcentral lists this long non-coding RNA (325 nucleotides) under Mytilus galloprovincialis (Mediterranean mussel). The record is from RNAcentral. Lineage: Eukaryota; Metazoa; Mollusca; Bivalvia; Mytilida; Mytilidae.
GGGGGGAGGGUUGGGAUCCCGCUAACAUGUUUAACCCCGCCACAUUAUUUCUGUAUGUGCCUGUCCCAAGUCAGGAGCAUGCAAUUCAGUGGUUGUCGUUUGUUUAUGUGUUACAUAUUUGUUUUUCGUUCAUUUUUUUACAUAAAUAAGGCCAUUAGUUUUCUCGUUUGAAUUGUUUUACAUUGUCUUAUCGGGGCCUUUUAUAGCUCACUAUGCGGUAUCGGCUUUGCUUAUUGUUGAAGGCCGUACGGUGACCUAUAGUUGUUAAUGUCUGUGUCAUUUUGGUUUUUUGUGGUUAGUUGUCUCAUUGGCAAUCAUACCACAU